RNAcentral lists this ribosomal RNA (2264 nucleotides) under Proteus mirabilis. RNAcentral describes it as "partial 23S ribosomal RNA". It matches the Rfam family "Bacterial large subunit ribosomal RNA", at positions 657 to 2899 of the family's 2925-position model. Lineage: Bacteria; Pseudomonadati; Pseudomonadota; Gammaproteobacteria; Enterobacterales; Morganellaceae. The record is from RNAcentral.
AUAGGGGAGCCGUAGGGAAACCGAGUCUUAACUGGGCGAAUGAGUUGCAGGGUAUAGACCCGAAACCCGGUGAUCUAUCCAUGGGCAGGUUGAAGGUUGGGUAACACUAACUGGAGGACCGAACCGACUAAUGUUGAAAAAUUAGCGGAUGACUUGUGGAUGGGGGUGAAAGGCCAAUCAAACCGGGAGAUAGCUGGUUCUCCCCGAAAGCUAUUUAGGUAGCGCCUCGUGAACUCAUCUUCGGGGGUAGAGCACUGUUUCGACUAGGGGGUCAUCCCGACUUACCAACUCGAUGCAAACUGCGAAUACCGAAGAAUGUUAUCACGGGAGACACACGGCGGGUGCUAACGUCCGUCGUGAAGAGGGAAACAACCCAGACCGCCAGCUAAGGUCCCAAAGUCAUGGUUAAGUGGGAAACGAAGUGGGAAGGCUCAGACAGCCAGGAUGUUGGCUUAGAAGCAGCCAUCAUUUAAAGAAAGCGUAAUAGCUCACUGGUCGAGUCGGCCCGCGCGGAAGAUGUAACGGGGCUAAACCAUGCACCGAAGCUGCGGCAGCGACACAAAGUGUUGUUGGGUAGGGGAGCGUUCUGUAAGCCUGCGAAGGUGUACUGUGAGGUAUGCUGGAGGUAUCAGAAGUGCGAAUGCUGACAUAAGUAACGAUAAUGCGGGUGAAAAACCCGCACGCCGGAAGACCAAGGGUUCCUGUCCAACGUUAAUCGGGGCAGGGUGAGUCGACCCCUAAGGCGAGGCUGAAAAGCGUAGUCGAUGGGAAACGGGUUAAUAUUCCCGUACUGGUGGUAACUGCGAUGGGGGAACGGAGAAGGCUAGGUUGUCCGGGCGACGGUCGUCCCGGUUCAAGCAGGUAGGCAGAGUGAUUAGGCAAAUCCGGUCACUUAAUGCUGAGAUGUGAUGACGAACCACCAAGGUGGUGAAGCAAUUGAUGCCCCGCUUCCAGGAAAAGCCUCUAAGCUUCAGGUUACCAACAAUCGUACCCCAAACCGACACAGGUGGUCAGGUAGAGAAUACUCAGGCGCUUGAGAGAACUCGGGUGAAGGAACUAGGCAAAAUGGUGCCGUAACUUCGGGAGAAGGCACGCUGGCGGUAGGUAAAGUCCCUUGCGGACGGCGCUGAAGCCAGUCGAAGAUACCAGCUGGCUGCAACUGUUUAUUAAAAACACAGCACUGUGCAAACACGAAAGUGGACGUAUACGGUGUGACGCCUGCCCGGUGCUGGAAGGUUAAUUGAUGGGGUUAGCGCAAGCGAAGCUCCUGAUCGAAGCCCCAGUAAACGGCGGCCGUAACUAUAACGGUCCUAAGGUAGCGAAAUUCCUUGUCGGGUAAGUUCCGACCUGCACGAAUGGCGUAAUGAUGGCCAGGCUGUCUCCACCCGAGACUCAGUGAAAUUGAACUCGCUGUGAAGAUGCAGUGUACCCGCGGCAAGACGGAAAGACCCCGUGAACCUUUACUAUAGCUUGACACUGAACAUUGAGCCUUGAUGUGUAGGAUAGGUGGGAGGCUUUGAAGUGUGGACGCCAGUCUGCAUGGAGCCAACCUUGAAAUACCACCCUUUAACGUUUGAUGUUCUAACCUAGGCCCAUAAACUGGGUCGGGGACCGUGUCUGGUGGGUAGUUUGACUGGGGCGGUCUCCUCCUAAAGAGUAACGGAGGAGCACGAAGGUUGGCUAAGCAUGGUCGGACAUCAUGCGGUUAGUGCAAAGGCAUAAGCCAGCUUGACUGCGAGAGUGACGGCUCGAGCAGGUACGAAAGUAGGUCUUAGUGAUCCGGUGGUUCUGAAUGGAAGGGCCAUCGCUCAACGGAUAAAAGGUACUCCGGGGAUAACAGGCUGAUACCGCCCAAGAGUUCAUAUCGACGGCGGUGUUUGGCACCUCGAUGUCGGCUCAUCACAUCCUGGGGCUGAAGUAGGUCCCAAGGGUAUGGCUGUUCGCCAUUUAAAGUGGUACGCGAGCUGGGUUUAGAACGUCGUGAGACAGUUCGGUCCCUAUCUGCCGUGGGCGUUGGAAGAUUGAGAGGGGUUGCUCCUAGUACGAGAGGACCGGAGUGAACGCACCACUGGUGUUCGGGUUGUCAUGCCAAUGGCAUUGCCCGGUAGCUAAGUGCGGAAGAGAUAACCGCUGAAAGCAUCUAAGCGGGAAACUUGCCUCGAGAUGAGUCUUCCCUGUCGCUUUAAGCGACCUAAAGGAACGUUUAAGACUAAGACGUUGAUAGGCUGGGUGUGUAAGCGUAGCGAUACGUUGAGCUAACCAGU